CCCUUAGAUGUCCUGGGCCGCACGCGCGCUACACUGAGUGUCUGAGAUACGAGUCUGCCUGGUCCGGCAAGGUCUAGGUAAUCGCUAAAAGACACAUCAUGCUUGGGAUAGAUUAUUGCAAAUAUUAAUCUUGAACGAGGAAUUCCUAGUAAGCGCAAGUCAACAGCUUGCGUUGAUUACGUCCCUGCCCUUUGUACACACCGCCCGUCGCUACUACUGAUUGGAUGUUUAAGCGAGGUUCUCGAACUGCUAGCGACUUAGCUUCGGUGAGGUCGCAGUGUGGGAAGUGAACCGAGCUUUGGAGUCUAGAGGAAGUAAAAGUCGUAACA
This 329-nucleotide ribosomal RNA is filed under the name uncultured eukaryote. RNAcentral describes it as "partial 18S ribosomal RNA". It matches the Rfam family "Eukaryotic small subunit ribosomal RNA", at positions 1470 to 1796 of the family's 1831-position model. The record is from RNAcentral.